Molecule: unclassified non-coding RNA, 345 nt
Filed under: soil metagenome
Description: partial contains 5.8S ribosomal RNA, internal transcribed spacer 2, and large subunit ribosomal RNA
Rfam family: 5.8S ribosomal RNA (bases 1-119)
Source: RNAcentral
GAUGAAGAACACAGCGAAAUGCGAUACGUAAUGUGAAUUGCAAAUUCAGUGAAUCAUCGAGUCUUUGAACGCACAUUGCGCCCCCUGGUAUUCCGGGGGGCAUGCCUGUCCGAGCGUCAUUGCUGCCCUCAAGCACGGCUUGUGUGUUGGGCCCCGUCCUCCGAUCCCGGGGGACGGGCCCGAAAGGCAGCGGCGGCACCGCGUCCGGUCCUCGAGCGUAUGGGGCUUUGUCACCCGCUCUGUAGGCCCGGCCGGCGCUUGCCGAUCAACCCAAAUUUUUAUCCAGGUUGACCUCGGAUCAGGUAGGGAUACCCGCUGAACUUAAGCAUAUCAAUAAGCGGAGGA